GACUGCGUACCUUUUGUAUAAUGGGUCAGCGACUUAUAUUCUGUAGCAAGGUUAACCGUAUAGGGGAGCCGGAGGGAAACCGAGUCUUAAUUGGGCGUUAAGUUGCAGGGUAUAGACCCGAAACCCGGUGAUCUAGCCAUGGGCAGGUUGAAGGUUGGGUAACACUAACUGGAGGACCGAACCGACUAAUGUUGAAAAAUUAGCGGAUGACCUGUGGCUGGGGGUGAAAGGCCAAUCAAACCGGGAGAUAGCUGGUUCUCCCCGAAAGCUAUUUAGGUAGCGCCUCGUGAAUUCAUCUCCGGGGGUAGAGCACUGUUUCGGCUAGGGGGCCAUCCCGGCUUACCAACCCGAUGCAAACUGCGAAUACCGGAGAAUGUUAUCACGGGAGACACACGGCGGGUGCUAACGUCCGUCGUGAAGAGGGAAACAACCCAGACCGCCAGCUAAGGUCCCAAAGUCAUGGUUAAGUGGGAAACGAUGUGGGAAGGCCCAGACAGCCAGGAUGUUGGCUUAGAAGCAGCCAUCAUUUAAAGAAAGCGUAAUAGCUCACUGGUCGAGUCGGCCUGCGCGGAAGAUGUAACGGGGCUAAACCAUGCACCGAAGCUGCGGCAGCGAACGUAUCACCCAAGACAACUUUACGGAGUUGACGAUUGACGGAGCGAAGCGACGUCAAAGCGUUCAUUAAAGUCGAGUUGGCUUAGGGAUACGUUCGUUGGGUAGGGGAGCGUUCUGUAAGCCUGUGAAG
This 745-nucleotide ribosomal RNA is filed under the name Salmonella enterica. Its description in RNAcentral is "partial 23S ribosomal RNA". It matches the Rfam family "Bacterial large subunit ribosomal RNA", at positions 595 to 1255 of the family's 2925-position model. The record is from RNAcentral. Lineage: Bacteria; Pseudomonadati; Pseudomonadota; Gammaproteobacteria; Enterobacterales; Enterobacteriaceae.